AAUUUUAAUAUUCAUAUAUAGAGCAAGGCUGUUGUAUUCUUAGGAGCCGUUUUUGGUGAUAAAAAUUUUUGAAUCGACGAUCAGUUUCGUUAGAUUUGAUUUAACAUAUUUGAAGUAUCUAGAGAAUAUAUUUUGUUAUUUUUUGAUAUCAAUUACCUAAUGAUCCAAAAGGUUCAAAAUCAACGGCUUAAAAUAAAAUUCUAAAAAAAAAAUAGUGAUAUAGCACUAAAAUUUUGGAUCAGAGAUAUUGAACUUACUAUAGAUAGUAUAAAGAAUCUUUUGUCAAAAUUUCAUCUGAUUUAGAUAUUUCUAUACCGUUAAACUUAGAAACGACAUACACCAACCAAUAAAAAUUAUUGAUUUCAAACUCACUCAAUCGUUAGGUAAAUGAUAUCGAAAAAUCAUAAAAAUUAUUUUCUUGGUACUUCAAAUAUGCUAGAUUAAGUCUAAUGGUGCCAAUUAUUGAUUCGAAAAUUCUAUCAUCGAAAACGGUUUAGGAGCAUGGAGGCCUCUGUGCUCCUAAGAGCACACGGCCCUACUCUUCAUGAGCACGGCUGUUGUACUCUUAGGAGCACGGAAGCCUCUGUGCUCCAAAGCCUUUUUGGUGAUGAAAUUUUCGAAUCGACGAUCGGCUCCGUUAGACUUAAUCUAACAUAUAUGAAGUAUCUAUAGAAAAAUUUUGUGAUUUUCGAUAUCAAUUAUCUAGCGAUCCAAAGGGCUCAAAAUCAAUGGCUGAAAAUAAAAAAUUCACAAAAAAUAGUGAUAUAACACUAAAAUUUAUAAUCAGAGAUAUUGAUCUUACUGUAGAUAGUACAAAAAAUUUCUAUCAAAAUUUUAUCUAAUUUAAAUACUUCUAUAUCGUUAAACUUGGAAGCAGCAGACACCAACCAUUAAUAAUUGAUUGAUACUAAAAAAUAAAGUUAAAUUUAAUACAGGAAUAUUUGUAGGUUAU
This 952-nucleotide long non-coding RNA is filed under the name Ananas comosus (pineapple). Its description in RNAcentral is "long non-coding RNA (ACOM_LNC020999)". The record is from RNAcentral. Lineage: Eukaryota; Viridiplantae; Streptophyta; Magnoliopsida; Poales; Bromeliaceae.